This 358-nucleotide long non-coding RNA is filed under the name Eucalyptus grandis. RNAcentral describes it as "long non-coding RNA (EGRA_LNC004951)". The record is from RNAcentral. Lineage: Eukaryota; Viridiplantae; Streptophyta; Magnoliopsida; Myrtales; Myrtaceae.
UCAUACAUGACAUCACCAUAGAAAAAAAAAAAGCUUUCUCAUGGCAUCAAAAGCCAAUGAACUGUAUUUGUUGCCUUAUUCCUCCUUCAUACUUAUUGACACAACACAUGAAUGAGAAGCCAACAGCUACAACAAGUUCACAAGAAGACAUCGACAUGAGAACAAAGGGGGAGCAAUUAUCAGAGCUGGAUUACAUAUUGCUAGACUUACUUUUAGAGAGAAGAAAAGAGCAACCUCCACCCUUUUUUUUCUAACCCUGACCUAUAAAAAUACCACACUUUUGACAGACACCAGAGGAUGCUCGAAAGUUCAAUCUAAUGUUCUGAUUUCAACUCCUAAUAUAUCUUGACCAUCACAA